This 1474-nucleotide long non-coding RNA is filed under the name Astyanax mexicanus (Mexican tetra). RNAcentral's name for it is "lncRNA (ENSAMXG00005012960.1)". The record is from RNAcentral. Lineage: Eukaryota; Metazoa; Chordata; Actinopteri; Characiformes; Acestrorhamphidae.
UAUAGUAUACAUAGUACAUAUAUAUAUAUAUAUAUAGUAUAUUAGUGUGUGUAAGUAGCCUGCACUGCUAUAGAAUGUUCGUAUGAGUGUUCUAAAGGUGAUUGCGAUUGUUUGAAUGGAGUGUUCUAAAGGUGAUUCAGAAUCUGCAUUGUGAUUGGUUGAGUGGAGUGUUCUAAAGGUGAUUCAGAAUCUGCAUUUUGAUUGGUUGAGUGGAGUAUUCUACAGGUGAUGUCAUCGCAGGCGCUCAGCAGAAAUAGCUGCUUGCUGCAGUUUUGUAUCAGUUGGAUGGUUCGUUGUUGGAGAGAGCAGUUGAAAAAAGAGUGCUACUCAUAUCUACAGACAACUGAAGAUGGUGUUCAUGCUGAGAGCUUUGAUUGUUCCAGGUGUGCUCGCAGUCGCUGGCUGCUGCUGGUGGUGGUACAGCUCUUGCAAAGAAACUAGAGCUACCACCCAAGACAGUGAGGAGGAGGAGGAUGAGCUUUCUUCCUCUAGUGAAGAUGGACAGGUUGCUCAGUCUGAGAUUGGUCUUAUUUCACCUUCCAUCUUGACUGCAGCACCUGUCUCAAGCUCAGAGGAACUCCCCCUUCUCGACAAGGUGGACGACAGCCAGCCAGCAGAGAGGUGUGAGGAGAAAAGGCAGCUUGAGGUGCUAACCACCAUUACAGAGGAUCCUCAGACUGAAGAGACACCAGAGUCUGCUGUAGAGCUACCAGAGCUCAGAUUAACUGAUCAGCUUUCUUCCUCUAGUGAAGAAGGACAGGGUGCUCCGUCUGAGAUUGGGAUUAUUUCACCUUCCAUCUUGACUGCAGCACCUGUCUCAAGCUCAGAGGAACUCCCCCUUCUCGACAAGGUGGACGACAGCCAGCCAGCAGAGAGGUGUGAGGAGAAAAGGCAGCUUGAGGUGCUAACCACCAUUACAGAGGAUCCUCAGACUGAAGAGACACCAGAGUCUGCUGUAGAGCUACCAGAGCUCAGAUUAACUGAUCAGCUUUCUUCCUCUAGUGAAGAAGGACAGGGUGCUCCGUCUGAGAUUGGGAUUAUUUCACCUUCCAUUUCGACUGCAGCACCUGUCAUAGAAGGCUCAGAGGAACUCGUCCUUCUCGACAGUGUAGACAACAGCCAGCCAGCAGAGAGGUGUGAGGAGAAAAAGCAGCUUGAGGAACCAUCCACCAUAAUAGAGGGUCCUCAAACUGAAGAGACACCAGAGUCUGCUGUAGAGCUACCAGAGCUCAGAUUAACUGAUCAGCUUUCUUCCUCUAGUGAAGAAGGACAGGGUGCUCCGUCUGAGAUUGGUAUUGUUUCACCUUCCAUUUCGACUGCAGCACCUGUCAUAGAAGGCUCAGAGGAACUCGUCCUUCUCGACAGUGUAGACAACAGCCAGCCAGCAGAGAUGUGUGAACANNNNNNNNNNNNNNNNNNNNNNNNNNNNNNNNNNNNNNNNNNNNNNNNNNNNNNNNNNNNNNNNNNNNNNNNN